GACGAACGCUGGCGGCGUGCUUAACACAUGCAAGUCGAACGGAAAGGCCCUGCUUUUGUGGGGUGCUCGAGUGGCGAACGGGUGAGUAACACGUGAGUAACCUGCCCUUGACUUUGGGAUAACUUCAGGAAACUGGGGCUAAUACCGGAUAGGAGCUCCUGCUGCAUGGUGGGGGUUGGAAAGUUUCGGCGGUUGGGGAUGGACUCGCGGCUUAUCAGCUUGUUGGUGGGGUAGUGGCUUACCAAGGCUUUGACGGGUAGCCGGCCUGAGAGGGUGACCGGCCACAUUGGGACUGAGGUACGGGCCGGACUCCUACGGGAGGCAGCAGUGGGGAAUAUUGCACAAUGGGCGGAAGCCUUAUGCAGCGACUCCGCGUGCUGGAUGACGGCCUUCGGGUUGUAAACCGCUUUCGCCUGUGACGAAGCGUGAGUGACGGUAAUGGGUAAAGAAGCACCGGCUAACUACGUG
Molecule: ribosomal RNA, 468 nt
Filed under: uncultured bacterium
Lineage: Bacteria
Description: partial 16S ribosomal RNA
Rfam family: Bacterial small subunit ribosomal RNA
Source: RNAcentral